GACCAAGGAGUCUAACAUGUGCGCGAGUCGCUGGGAGCUCUCGCUAAACCCGGAGGCGCAGUGAAAGCGGGGGCGCGGUUCUACCGCGCUCUGGGAGGAUGCCGCGUUCCACCUCGGUGGGCCGGCCGCACUCCCGGGGCGCCUCGGCUCCGGCCGCAGGCGCACCCCGAGCGCACACGUUGGGACCCGAAAGAUGGUGAACUAUGCCUGGUCAGGACGAAGUCAGGGGAAACCCUGAUGGAGGUCCGCAGCGAUUCUGACGUGCAAAUCGAUCGUCAGAGCUGGGUAUAGGGGCGAAAGACUAAUCGAACCAUCUA
RNAcentral lists this ribosomal RNA (317 nucleotides) under Thanatophyllum akinetum. RNAcentral describes it as "eukaryotic LSU rRNA". It matches the Rfam family "Eukaryotic large subunit ribosomal RNA", at positions 664 to 946 of the family's 3401-position model. The record is from RNAcentral. Lineage: Eukaryota; Metazoa; Arthropoda; Insecta; Blattodea; Blaberidae.